This 107-nucleotide small nuclear RNA is filed under the name Spermophilus dauricus (Daurian ground squirrel). The record is from RNAcentral. Lineage: Eukaryota; Metazoa; Chordata; Mammalia; Rodentia; Sciuridae.
GUGCUCGCUUCAGCAGCACAUAUACUAAAAUUGGAACGAUACAGAGAAGAUUAGCAUGGCCCCUACGCAAGGAUGACAUGCAAAUUUGUGAAGCGUUCCAUAUUUUU